UGAUCCAGUGUUCUGAUCCAGAGCAGGGAAAUGCUCUCUGUAGUGUAGGGUCUCCACCACCAGUGCCCCAUCUUUGGUCUUGACUCCACAGGCUGGACUGCACUGAGACUUCUGCAUUUCAGGAAUGUGACUCCUGUCCUUGACCUCGUCUGCAGAUAAAUACAACAUGCCCCGUAGUGCUGAGUGGUUUGGGAAGAAUGUCAGCCAGACAAGAGAGGGGAGAUAAUGGAAAGACAGAAGGACCCUUCUGGGAGUCACAGAAGAGUUGUUCACUCAGGUACUGACCUUAAAGUAAUUCUUCACACCCUUUGAAAUCUCCUAAAGCUUUCCCCAAAAUUGCAAGAACUGAAGAGUGCUAGUCUUAAAAAUUGUAAAACAAAUGGAUAAUUUGUAGGAUAAUUGCCUGUGUUAUAUUUCUCCCCAUGCCACAAAGGAAAAAGCAGCCUUAUGCCAUGUACCUCCCAGGCCUGGUGUAACUCGAAUCCAAAAGCUAUGAAGGAA
This 501-nucleotide long non-coding RNA is filed under the name Lepidothrix coronata (blue-crowned manakin). Its description in RNAcentral is "lncRNA (ENSLCOG00000013422.1)". The record is from RNAcentral. Lineage: Eukaryota; Metazoa; Chordata; Aves; Passeriformes; Pipridae.